GAUGAACGCUGGCGGCGUGCCUAAUACAUGCAAGUCGAGCGAACGGACGAGAUUCUUGCUUCUCUGAUGUUAGCGGCGGACGUGUGAGUAACACGUGGAUAACCUACCUAUAAGACUGGGAUAACUUCGUGAAACCGGUGCUAAUUCCGGAUGAUAUUUUGAACCGCAUGGUUCAAAAGUUUAAGCCGGUCUUGCUGUCACUUCUAGAUGUAUCCGCGCUGCAUUAGCUAGUUGGUAAGGUAACGGCUUACCAAGGCAACGAUGCAUAGCCGACCUGAGAGGGUGAUCGGCCACACUGGAACUGAGACACGGUCCAGACUCCUACGGGAGGCAGCAGUAGGGAAUCUUCCGCAAUGGGCGAAAGACUGAAGGAGCAACGCCGCGUGAGUGAUGAAGGGCUUCGGAUCGUAAAACUCUGUUAGUAGGGAAGAACAUAUGUGUAAGUAACUGUGCACAUCUUGACGGUACCUAAUCAGAAAGCAACGGCUAACUACGUG
RNAcentral lists this ribosomal RNA (497 nucleotides) under uncultured bacterium. Its description in RNAcentral is "partial 16S ribosomal RNA". It matches the Rfam family "Bacterial small subunit ribosomal RNA", at positions 28 to 507 of the family's 1533-position model. The record is from RNAcentral.